RNAcentral lists this ribosomal RNA (624 nucleotides) under Triticum aestivum (bread wheat). Its description in RNAcentral is "partial small subunit ribosomal RNA". The record is from RNAcentral. Lineage: Eukaryota; Viridiplantae; Streptophyta; Magnoliopsida; Poales; Poaceae.
AUGGCGGCCAGGGUGCACCACCACCACUACCCCGUGCUGGUGUCGGCAGCGGCGUCGCCUGCUAGGUCGGAGGACAUGCGGCUGAGGCGGUCGCGUCCGCCUGCCAAGGCGGAGGACAGGCGGCUGAGGCGGUCUCCGCCGGUGUCGGUGGAGAAGGCGCGGCGGCAGGGGCGGCCGUCGCGGGGCGGGGCUGCGGUGGCGGGGACAGCGGCGGGGACGGCAGCUGGGUGCGCGGCCGUGUGCGCCUGCUUCCCGUUCGCCGUGAUUGAGCUCGCCGUCCUAGCCACCGUGCGCGCCCCCGCCGCGAUGUGCCGCCGCACCAUCCGCGAGAGGCGCAACCGGCGACGCGAGGCCCGGGCCAUGCGGAAGAAGGAGAUGGAGGGCGUCAUCCUCGGCGGGGACGCGUCGCCCAAGUCGGUGGCCGCGGCCCAGGCGAAGCACGCCGCGCUGAAGGCGGAGGAGGAAGAGGCGGAGCAGGGGUGGUGCCAUUGGCCGGUCAAGCCCGCGGCGGCGGCGGUGGCUGCGGCCGAGGAGCUCGCCGAGGCGGAGAAGGAGGUGUGGGAGCGCUUCUACGGCACCGGCGGCUUCGGGAGGAGCCCGUCGGAGCACGACGAAACGUGGUGA